This 381-nucleotide transfer-messenger RNA is filed under the name Pseudobacteroides cellulosolvens. Its description in RNAcentral is "Standard tmRNA". It matches the Rfam family "transfer-messenger RNA". From Rfam's summary of the family: Bacterial tmRNA, also known as 10Sa RNA or SsrA, is named for its dual tRNA and mRNA-like properties. Its role is to liberate the mRNA from a stalled ribosome. The record is from RNAcentral. Lineage: Bacteria; Bacillati; Bacillota; Clostridia; Eubacteriales; Oscillospiraceae. RNAcentral also lists the same sequence under 1 other name.
GGGGGCGUAAUGGUUUCGACGGGAUUGUUGAGACUUAAGUAGCGAGUAGAGGAUUCUCGUAGGCCUCUUAAAAAACGAGAACUUAAAAUUAAACGCUAAAAACGAUAAUUUAGCUUACGCGGCUUAAUGCCGUGUGCGUCUAGCCCAGGUUCCUGCACCUGGGGGCCUAGGCGUCGAUAAGUCAGGCCUUUUGCAUAGGAAGGUUAAAUGCUAGAACUGCUGCGGUAGUAGCCUUGAGCUGCAGCGGAACUUAAAGGCUACGGUAGAGUAGACCCUGCCCUUGGGGGAUGCUCGUCAGGAAUGCUAAAUUGGGGGAUACACUCGUAGAAGCUUUUGUGGAUAUGGUUUCGGACAGGGGUUCGACUCCCCUCGCCUCCACCA